UCCAACAUGGCGGCUUGGAAGACAAACUUGAACGUUAACCUUUGACGGCAAACCUGACCGAAGUAAUUCCUUUAGUACUACUUGGCGAGAAAAACACGUUUCUCUCUCCCUUUUGGGGUGUUUUAUUCCAAAAACGUGUCUACAGUGGCUAAAAAAAAAACAGAAAUGGAGCUGAUGUUCGUGAUGAAAAUUAUGUAAACAGAAGCAGCGUGUCAAAUUGAAGGCAGGUCUAGGUCAGUUGAUUUCUGAUGAGAUGUGAAUCUGAAGAGGCAUAUGUAGCCAUUGUACUAUUUUCAACAGAUUGUGUAAAUGUAAGUCUUAAAUUGUGUUAAAGUAUGCCCAGUCAGUAACUUGACAAAUCAAUGUUGAGAUCAACACUUAAAAUGGAAGGGAUGUGAAUUUGUCCUAACCUUGUCUGACUUUACAUUCAAUAAUAACUAUUUUAGUUUAAACCACAACAGAAGACAUGAAAUUAUUUCUGUUAAUAAACCAAAAAAUGGUUAGAAAAUAAACUUUUGACGUGCGCUUCUGUCUCUAAAGUUGCUUAGAGUAUAAUGGCAUGUACCAACCACUACCGAACUAGGCAAUUAGGGUGUGAUAAGCACUAUUCACCUGUGUGGUAUAUUGUAAAUGGUAAGGGUAAAAUGAGGGUACCCUUAUAAUUUAAAAUAAAAUUGUCCUUAGAGAACGGUUUUAUUUAAAGUGAAAACAACUUCUUGACAUGCAAACAUGAGAGACAUCUAAAUUUGCUACUGAAUAAUAGUUACAAAUUACUAAUUUGCAAUAAAUGACCAGUCAAUGAAAAACCCUGUCUAAAGGGAAAUGUUCCUUUUGCAUUAUAUUUGUUUAAAAGUAAAUGCUCUUUAUAAAUAGUAAUAAAAUCAGUUCCAAUAAGAUUCUUCCCAAACCAGUCAAGUAAAAUGUAGUGGCAAUUUUACUUGCUCCUCAGCUUGUUUUACUUUCAACUUCCUAUGGUACAAGACACUUCAAGGUCAUUUGAUGAAAAAACUCAUUUAAAUAGUUACAUCUAUGUAUUUGCAAGCCCUCAGUUAAACAGGCCUUGCAGAAUUACACAUUUUGAAUGUAAUGAAUACAUGAUAUGUCUUUCACUUGACAGGGAGCUUCAUUUUUCUAAUUUCAUCCUGGCAUUCAUAUGGUUUUGACAUACCUCUUCAAUAGUCAAAUAGUUAUAAGUUUUUCUUCUAGCUGGCUAACCCAUUUGAAAAACUGACUGGUUGGUGUUAAAGACAUACCCAGUGACUGACAGACAGACAGGAAAACUUCAUGGCUGCAGAUUUUCCAGAAGAUUUGGGAGGAAACGUUGGAGAACUGAAGGAAUCAGAUCGGAUGGAAGAUCAAAGCAUGAAUAAGGUCAAGUUUGGAUCAAACUCAUGGGAGACCAAAGUGAAAUAUAUUUGGUGAGUGUUAUAAUGAUUCUUUACCGUGGGAAUUAAAUCUGCAUGUCUAGAUAUGGUGGGUAAAUUUUUCUUCACGUGUUCUCAAAGAUUAUAAGUUUAAAAGGAAACGCAAGGGAGAGGAGAAUACUUCACACGUUGAUAUUGCAAAGAUUACAAGUUACCAAAUAGGGCCAAGACAGGAAAAAUUAUGGUUGUUGUUAUCUCGCUUGUUACACUUGUAAAUCACAGUGAAUCUGGUUUCGUAAAAGGUGUAGUUUAAGGCAUCGGAAUGUAAAAGAAUAAAACGAUUUGUAAUGUAUUUAUUUAUUCUCCUUCGUAUAACUUUAAAUUUCACACAGUGAACUUGAGAACCCAAAAGAUGUUGUGAAACAUGUCGACUUCAAAAGACCAAGGAUAGGAUUUUAUGGCUCAUUUGAAACCCUGCCUUAUUUAGUGGGUGUCAUGGUGCAAUGACCAUUUCAAGCAAUUACUUAAGAGAAAGGUCAAUCUUGGAAUGGACGAAAAAUCGGGGGUCGAUCCGCCACCGUCCCCCACCACACCCACCUCUUA
This 1967-nucleotide long non-coding RNA is filed under the name Pocillopora damicornis (cauliflower coral). Its description in RNAcentral is "uncharacterized LOC113671205, transcript variant X2". Lineage: Eukaryota; Metazoa; Cnidaria; Anthozoa; Scleractinia; Pocilloporidae. The record is from RNAcentral.